Molecule: ribosomal RNA, 382 nt
Filed under: uncultured bacterium
Lineage: Bacteria
Description: bacterial SSU rRNA
Rfam family: Bacterial small subunit ribosomal RNA
Source: RNAcentral
GACGAACGCUGGCGGCGUGCUUAACGCAUGCAAGUCGAACGAGGUCCAUCCAGCUUGCUGGUGAAGACCUAGUGGCGAACGGGUGAGUAACACGUGAGGAACCCCACCCCGGAGACCGGGAUAACCCUCCGAAAGGAGAGCUAAUACCGGAUGUCCUCAUCGGAUCGCAUGUUCUGAUGAGGAAAUGGAUUCCGCUCCGGGACGGCCUCGCGGCCUAUCAGCUUGUUGGNGGGGUAACGGCCCACCAAGGCGUCGACGGGUAGCUGGUCUGAGAGGACGGUCAGCCACACUGGGACUGAGACACGGCCCAGACUCCUACGGGAGGCAGCAGCGGGGAAUAUUGCGCAAUGGGCGAAAGCCUGACGCAGCAACGCCGCGUGGA